ACGAACGCUGGCGGCGUGCUUAACACAUGCACGUCGAACGCGCCUGUCCUCUGGGUUUCUGGGGGGUGGGUGAGUGGCGAACGGGUGAGUAACACGUGAGUAACCUGCCCCCUUCUUCGGGAUAACGGUCUGAAAGGGCUGCUAAUACCGGGUAUUCACUGGUCUCCGCAUGGGGUCUGGUGGAAAGGUUUUUUUCUGGUGGGGGAUGGGCUCGCGGCCUAUCAGCUUGUUGGUGGGGUGAUGGCCCACCAAGGCUUUGACGGGUAGCCGGCCUGAGAGGGUGACCGGUCACAUUGGGACUGAGAUACGGCCCAGACUCCUACGGGAGGCAGCAGUGGGGAAUAUUGCACAAUGGGCGCAAGCCUGAUGCAGCGACGCCGCGUGAGGGAUGGAGGCCUUCGGGUUGUGAACCUCUUUCGCCCGUGGUCAAGCCGCGACGUGGGUCGUGGUGAGGGUAGUGGGUAAAGAAGCGCCGGCUAACUACGUG
This 487-nucleotide ribosomal RNA is filed under the name uncultured bacterium. RNAcentral's name for it is "partial 16S ribosomal RNA". It matches the Rfam family "Bacterial small subunit ribosomal RNA", at positions 29 to 507 of the family's 1533-position model. The record is from RNAcentral.